GUGUUUCUAGACUUUGCCUCUUCCAAUGUAGCUUUAGGCAGAGGAGGGCCCCCUGGACACUGCCUCUCACUGGUUUCUUCAGGGUGUGUGUGAAGGUCUCUGGACAGCAUGGGGGGCCCCAGAUGACAGGUGUUGGGGUUGUGGAGCUUCACCAGAUGGCAGCCGCCACCAGUAAAGGGAGACACAACAUCGUAGCGAUAUCAGCAGUGAUGAUGAACGGGGACCUGCUAGGGGCGGACCUCUCUCCAUGAGUUAAGGGAAGCCACCCACUGACCGCAUCACAGAAACAAAGGGAAAGGACUCCAAGUGAGAUAGGACCACCCUGGGGAUUCAGGCUGAUUUAACGGGGAGGUGGGGGCUCCCAGGCCCGGUUUCUGAGCCGUGGCUGGGGCCGGCUCACUCAGAGAGUUGCGGAAAGUUAGACUCUGGUUUUGAGACUCUGGGGCCAAGGGAGGGGUCGCAGCCAAGUCCCCUGACCCUCGAAUUUGAGUCCACGUGAGCUAUUCUAACAAUCUCCUCCUCCUUGGCCUCCUUGGCCUCUUUCUUGGAGGAGGAGGAUGACAAAAGUGAAGAAAGGUGGUUGGGCAGAGGUAAUUCGGUGCAGAAAGGAGACAGUGGGGGAAGUAUUCUUACAAUCCUAUCCUGCCAUGAGCUCAGUUCCAGUUCACGAAAUAAGGCUGAGAUAAAUACCGUUUGUGAUAUUAUUUCUCGUGGGUCUUCCUCUCCCAUAAUCAGCGAUAGUUUUUCAUCAGCUGCGGUGAGCCGGAGGGAGAGCAGAGGAGGACCCUGGCUAGCUUUUGGGGAUGAAGCCGAGGCCCACACGGGUUGAGGAUCUGCUGAGCACCAGCCCCUGCAAGGAUUGGGCUCCCGCCAAACCUGAGGGGAAGGAGUUGCUACCCUCGUGUCCGGAUGAGGACCCCAGAGUCGGAGCGUUCCAGUGGCCUCCUGAGGCCUCAGCCCUGCCUGGCAGGGAGCAAGGGUGCCCAGACCUUGGCCUCUCCUUGCUGCCUGUGGUCACACACGCUCAGGAGCUCCACCUUGUCAUCUUGCUGCUGCUGUGAUGUGGCAACCGCACCACAUAUAAAUAGUAACGAGGGAUGAAUAAGCCAGGGUUACAGGCUGCUGCCAGAGGCUGAGUGAGGCUCACUCCGGCUGCUCCAGCUCUUGGCAACAGCCCAGCUCCCCAGUUCUUGCCAAAAAUCGCUGAGGCUUGCAGCUGGAGGAAGACGUGGAUCUGGGCUGAUGGUGGCACCACUUUGGCCUGGAAUGUCCUGCCCCCUGGCCUGGGUCUGGCCCAGGAAGCAAGGCAAGGUGGGGAAGGAGCCCAGGGAGCUGGCAGGAAUCAGCCUUGUCAGGUGGCCACCUGCCAGAGUCUAGAAUACCCCGGAGUUCAUCCUUCCACAGAAACGUCUGGAACAAUUGUCUCUGUCUUCUUCAACCAGGUCUCCCAAUAAUGGUGACAUUUCAAGCAUUUUGAACAUUGUUUUGGGGGAAAUACAGCGUCUCCUGCCCAUUUA
This is a long non-coding RNA of Nyctereutes procyonoides (raccoon dog), 1517 nucleotides long. RefSeq lists it as uncharacterized. NCBI's taxonomy places the organism in Eukaryota, Metazoa, Chordata, Mammalia, Carnivora, Canidae. The transcript has 2 exons. The record is from RefSeq and is a predicted model, not a curated record.